CAUCCCCUGGAAUUCGAAUCAAUAGUUUCUUUUCGUUAUUUCGCAAACCAAACUGAGCCCAAGAGUUACGGUCAACUUUGAGGGGUUAGAGCAACUCCAACAGAUUCUGUAUUUCCUCAUUUUUCUCUAUUUUAAAGAAAAUUGAGUCAUUUUAAGCUCUAACAGCUUCCCUAAACCCUUCCCUAAAAUAAAGAUUUUGAUGAGAGAGAAGAUUACAUUCCCUAAAUCUACAGCAAACGCUAAAAAUAUAGCGAUAGCUUGCUUCUGUCAUUAAUUUUUCACGUGCUCCACUCUCCCACAACGACCCAAAACGUUUCAACUCUGACUGAAGCUCAACCAAGAAAGAAGACGGUAGCGCAGUUGAAGUUGCUAGUGGAUUAAUUCUUGAACACAAAUAUGUAGGACUGGAAACAGAUAGCUAGAUGUCUAGAUAGCUGGAGAGUCUUCUUUUGUAUGGGAGGAUAUAUUCCCCCUGAUUUCACUGUUGAUGCAAUUUCCUUUGAUUGUAAUUUUGUUUAACUAUUAAUAACGAGCUGACUAUUUUCCUUUU
Molecule: long non-coding RNA, 550 nt
Organism: Rosa rugosa (rugosa rose)
Lineage: Eukaryota; Viridiplantae; Streptophyta; Magnoliopsida; Rosales; Rosaceae
Exons: 2
Source: RefSeq, a predicted model, not a curated record